RNAcentral lists this ribosomal RNA (385 nucleotides) under uncultured bacterium. Its description in RNAcentral is "bacterial SSU rRNA". It matches the Rfam family "Bacterial small subunit ribosomal RNA", at positions 28 to 416 of the family's 1533-position model. The record is from RNAcentral.
GACGAACGCUGGCGGCGUGCUUAACACAUGCAAGUCGAGCGGUAAGGCCCUUCGGGGUACACGAGCGGCGAACGGGUGAGUAACACGUGGGUGACCUGCCUCUAGCUCUGGGAUAAGCCUGGGAAACUGGGUCUAAUACCGGAUAUGACUCCACGGCGCAUGUUGUGGGGUGGAAAGCCUUGUGUGGCUAGAGAUGGGCCCGCGGCCUAUCAGCUUGUUGGUGGGGUGAUGGCCUACCAAGGCGACGACGGGUAGCCGGCCUGGGAGGGCGACCGGCCACACUGGGACUGAGACACGGCCCAGACUCCUACGGGAGGCAGCAGUGGGGAAUCUUGCGCAAUGGGCGAAAGCCUGACGCAGCGACGCCGCGUGAGGGAUGACGGCC